UAGGAAAGUUAAUAUUUCUCCUUGGGGGA
Molecule: non-coding RNA, 29 nt
Filed under: Mus musculus (house mouse)
Lineage: Eukaryota; Metazoa; Chordata; Mammalia; Rodentia; Muridae
Source: RNAcentral